UACAGAGGUCUCACGCGUUGUUCGGAUUCAUUGGGCGUAAAGGGUGCGUAGGUGGCGCCGUAAGUCGGGUGUGAUAUUUCGGAGCUUAACUCCGAAACUGCAUUCGAUACUGGUGUGCUUGAGGACUGGAGCGGAGACUGGAAUUCAUGGUGUAGCAGUGAAAUGCGUAGAGAUCAUGAGGAAGACCAGUGGCGAAGGCGGGUCUCUGGACAGUUCCUUACACUGAGGCACGAAGGCCAGGGGAGCAAACGUG
Molecule: ribosomal RNA, 253 nt
Filed under: uncultured bacterium
Lineage: Bacteria
Description: partial 16S ribosomal RNA
Rfam family: Bacterial small subunit ribosomal RNA
Source: RNAcentral